AGGCAUUGGUGGGAUACUACCCUAAUUGUAUUGGAUUUCUAACCCGCAGCACUUAUCGUGCUGGGAGACAGUGUCAGGCGGGCAGUUUGACUGGGGCGGUCGCCUCCUAAAGAGUAACGGAGGCGCUCAAAGGUUCCCUCAGAAUGGUUGGAAAUCAUUCAUAGAGUGUAAAGGCAUAAGGGAGCUUGACUGCGAGACCUACAAGUCGAGCAGGGUCGAAAGACGGACUUAGUGAUCCGGUGGUUCCGCAUGGAAGGGCCAUCGCUCAACGGAUAAAAGCUACCCCGGGGAUAACAGGCUUAUCUCCCCCAAGAGUUCACAUCGACGGGGAGGUUUGGCACCUCGAUGUCGGCUCAUCGCAUCCUGGGGCUGUAGUCGGUCCCAAGGGUUGGGCUGUUCGCCCAUUAAAGCGGUACGCGAGCUGGGUUCAGAACGUCGUGAGACAGUUCGGUCCCUAUCCGUCGUGGGCGUAGGAAAUUUGAGAGGAGCUGUCCUUAGUACGAGAGGACCGGGAUGGACAUACCUCUGGUGUACCAGUUGUCGUGCCAACGGCAUAGCUGGGUAGCUAUGUAUGGACGGGAUAAGUGCUGAAAGCAUCUAAGCAUGAAGCCCCCCUCGAGAUGAGAUUUCCCAACUUCGGUUAUAAGAUCCCUCAAAGAUGAUGAGGUGAAU
RNAcentral lists this ribosomal RNA (672 nucleotides) under Staphylococcus pseudintermedius. RNAcentral describes it as "partial 23S ribosomal RNA". It matches the Rfam family "Bacterial large subunit ribosomal RNA", at positions 2184 to 2857 of the family's 2925-position model. Lineage: Bacteria; Bacillati; Bacillota; Bacilli; Caryophanales; Staphylococcaceae. The record is from RNAcentral.